AAGGAUUUAAGUUAAAUUAAAAACUUAGAACCUUCAAAGUUCUCAAUAAAGGUAUCUUUAAGCCUUA
RNAcentral lists this transfer RNA (67 nucleotides) under Holotrichia parallela (large black chafer). RNAcentral's name for it is "tRNA-Trp". The record is from RNAcentral. Lineage: Eukaryota; Metazoa; Arthropoda; Insecta; Coleoptera; Scarabaeidae.